Long non-coding RNA from Temnothorax curvispinosus, 1096 nucleotides. RefSeq lists it as uncharacterized. The record is from RefSeq and is a predicted model, not a curated record. NCBI's taxonomy places the organism in Eukaryota, Metazoa, Arthropoda, Insecta, Hymenoptera, Formicidae. The transcript has 3 exons.
CAGCCAGCCCCGGCCAACAUCGACCGGGUAUUGUCGCGUCUGCGCUUGCGUCACUGUUAUCCAGGACUAUCAACCUUGCCUCAAUUCCUGAUCAUCCGUUUUCCGUGUCCCCGUUCGUGCUCGUGUGUGCGCGUGUGUGCCGGGGGCUCCGUGUACACACGCACGUGUACACGCGUGUAUACGUGCGCGCCACGGACACGCGGCGACUCGCGCGCGGAUAUCAUCGUCCCUCACGAGAGAGCGAGGCGUCCGUCAUGCGUCGAGCCCGAUCUCGCGCGGCCGAUCGAAUCGAUGGACGUUCGAGGUUUCUCGCAUUCGCGGAUAGUCAUUUUCUGCAUGAUCAAUGAAGCUCCAAAUAUGCGAAAACCGACGCGCGUUAUCGGCGAAACGAUUGUUUCCUGGGAGCAGCAUUUAACACGUUAAUAACGUUGAGCCACUACGAUUUUGUUGCCGACUCGCCGUUGGCGAAGAAGAUAAACGUAACACCCACCAGUUUAUGAUAAAGUAAACUUGAUCAAUUCUCUAAUAUAACCCGGUGCUAAUAGGAAAGUUAUCAGAACUUCCUAUAUUUUUCGCCAUCAGAUUAUUGAAAUAAUUAAAAAUUUCUUUAACGAGCGAGAAAAGAAAUAAAAAAUAACUAAAUGUAUUACGAGUAUUCACACAUAAAAGACACUUUUUAAAUUAAAAUGAAUAUUAAUUCAUAUGAUCUUCAAAUAAAGUGCGAUGAAUCGUAAUCGGAAAUUGUAAAUACAUGCCUUAGCGGUUUGGUUAAUUUGUCCACCGAUUUGUACAUCGACAUCGUACACGGAACUGCAUGCCGAUUGCUACUGUAUCACCCAGUGACAAGUCGUUUGCCGAUUUGUCAAGAUUAUUGAUGGUCGUAUCAAUGGAUAAAUGCUUUACGUCCGACUGCACUCGUCGUGCGAGUUAUUGUUGCUUCAGCAAAAUUAGUAGUCCCGCAAAAGUAUUCCAGUUAAAGCGAAGAUAUACGAAUACCCGAGCGAAUACCGAAGCAAGAAGGUAGAUAGUUGCAAGAAUGUAUACAUAAAAAUAGUAAUAUAAUACGAGUAAUAUAAUACAGAUAUAAUACAGAUUU